Ostrinia furnacalis (Asian corn borer) is the source of this 686-nucleotide long non-coding RNA. RefSeq lists it as uncharacterized. Lineage: Eukaryota; Metazoa; Arthropoda; Insecta; Lepidoptera; Crambidae. The record is from RefSeq and is a predicted model, not a curated record. The transcript has 4 exons.
AUCAAAUCAUUAAAAGAAAAACUCAAAAUGGGAAGCAAAUAGAUUGCAAAUUUCCCUGCCCUCAGUCGCCGCAACAUCCCCGAGAGACAUUUCCGCUGGGUACAUACUUUUACCCUUCCUUUUUUGCUUGAUAAAGGACCAUAGAAAUUUAGGAUUAGAAGUUAAUGUCUGUUCCAGGUUACUCAGGUGUUUAUUGUAUGCAGAUUUUUGUAGUUGGUAGCAUCUAUGCCUUAACAGCUCAAACUCUAAAAUAUCACGUGGAUUUUUGUUAUACUUGCGCACUUUUAGUCUGCAUUUGUGUUUUUCUUUUAAUGAUUUGAUAAGGCUCGGCGUGAACCAGGGCGGGAACUUAUAGUUUGGUGGUUUAGACUUCGGGACAUGCUUCUCGAUUACAUUGCGAAGGAUGGCAUGGAAUUUGGUCGACAUCAGAUCAACUCCAAGGUCGUCCGGUAAUACGUCGUUCCAUGAUAUCUUCUGUAGCGCAGCAACUAUCUUAACGUAAUCAGCCUUGAAGAAACAGAACUUUACGUCACUAUUCGGCAAAAGAGUUACAGGGUCAGCACUAGGGACUAUGAAUUGAAGCGGUGGAUGCAACGGAUCCACUGAUGUUAAAGGAUCUGAAUUUAGGUCCAAUUCCGUAAUGGCAAUUGAACAAAGUACCAGGUCUAGUAUUUUACCCUUCACAU